UCAUCAGUCUUCUUCUCCGACAACUGAAGCUCAACAUUGUUUGCGGGGAAGCACAAUGCCCCAAUUAAUAUAUCAGCUUAUCUUCAACUUCAAGGUACCAAAUAAUUUCAACUGCUUGUCACAAUUUAGGGUUUUUUUUUGGGGGGGUUUUUAUGUAUUGGAAUAUUAUUGUUGGAAUGUUAAUAAAUAUGUUGAAAUUUGAAAUUAGGCUCCUAUUUUUGCCAUUUUCUAAUUGCUAUGUUUUGUGGUUUAAGAAUGAUAAAUCAUUAUAGCUUUAUAUAAUCAAAUCAUGAGAGCUAUAUGUUAUGGAUUUGUCUUAAUCAAAUCAAAACUUAUGAUAUCUUACCAUGAAUUGAUCUUAAUUACCUGUUGUAGAUAUUCAUAUUUUUGUCAAAUUUAUUGUGUUCAUAUACAUAUAUAUGAUUAUAAUUAUCAUUGUUGUCAGUUGUCACUCACAUACCAUGAAUUUGUCUUGCCUGUUGUAGAUAUUUUUAUGUUACGGACGGGAGAAUUGUCAACUUCGGCUUGUGGGACGUUGCUAGUAAGUUCACACUUCAUAUUCUUUCUUGCUUUUAUGCACUGUCUGUGUCUCUUUAAAGUCUUUAAGUUUGGCUUCUCUUUGAUAAGCAAUGCUGAUAAUGAAAAUGUUGCCUGAAAAGUUAGGGUUUUCGUUUUUCUUUCCGUGCGGGCUUGGCCAACACUAAAGGCCAACACCUAAUUAAGAGCAAGCCAAAUAAACGAUGACUAGCAUGGGCUAAACCAACACUGAUUGGUGUGGACUAAGCCAAUUCUAACUAUUCCUUAUAUCUUCGCCAAUUUGGCUAAAAGGGGACUGGAGUCCGUCUAGCGUCUAUUUAGCAUCGGCCAGAUAAUUAGCCGAUUUUCACAGUCAAUGCUGCCUGUGGAUUUUACAGCUAACAUGUUAGAGACAAACACUAGUUGUCCUUUUAGAGAUGAUCCCUUUGGAAAUAUUAUUCUUGUUGUCUUGGGGGUCAUAACUUUAAUACUUCAUACAUUUUAAAACUCAAAAACAUCUCUAUAAGCAGUUACAACUUACAACUCCUAUCUUAGCUAUUGAUCCUAAAAACCGUCCACUAUAUCAGAAAUUAACUUGUAUCCCUAACAACACCACAAAGAUAAAGAAAAAGAGAAAAAAAAAUUAUAACUCUAAAGCAUGAUAUUAAAUAUUAAUCCACAUCUGGUUUGUUUUUUUAGAUGUAAAUUGCAAGUUUUCAUUAUUACUCAUAUAAUACAAUGGUUGAUUCUACACUAAUAUUCAACAACUCUCAGCGUUGUUGAAAAUUUAAUUUCUUGAUGCAUAUGGCAAAGAUCAAUACAAAACCUAUUGUAAAUCCAACAACUAUAACUGCAACAAUUCCUAAAAAUUCAUACUUGAAACCAAAGUAAUUCCGCAAAAAGUCUUGUAUUGGAACAAUUUUUCCAUUAAAAUCCAAACUGUCCUUUCUAUCUCCAAAUUGUGAAGUCACUAGCCCAUUUAGAGUCCAAGCUGCUGGAUUUAUCCAAUAAAACCAUCUCCACCAUAUAGGGAUCCUCUACAAGCCCAUUUUAGAAAAUUAUUAAAAAGAAACAAAAGAUCAAUUAAUUAUUUGUACAGUACAAAUCUGUGCAGUUAACAAACAGAAGCUAAAACUUACUGUUUGUGGGAUUAAGAAUCCAGAGAAGAGAUUAAAGAAUGAAUUGAAUGCACUACUGAGCAAAGCAGUUAUAGCUAGGUUUGGGGCCAUGGCUGUUGUCAUCAUGCCAAAGUAGGUAGAGUAAAGGAAGGUGAAGAACAUGAAAAAGAUGUACCAUAAAAAUUUAGUGACGCUCCACUCAUAACCAAGCAUUGAAUAAACCAUAAUCCCAUAAACCACAGCUUGCACAAGAUUAUAAGGGACUUCAAUUAGAGCCUACAUGAAAGAUUAGAAAAUAAGACAAAAAUUUAUUUACAUACAUGGGACUAUGUACAUAAAGACUAUUUCAACACUUGCCUGAGAAACAGCAUAUGCCAAUGCUGAAUACAUUCCUGCAGCCCUUUCCCUAUAAAAGACUACUCUCUCUAUACCUACCAGUGGUUGCACUGAAUUGCAAUUCUUGACACCAAUAACCAAAGUAGCAGUAUACAGAAAGCCCAUGGCAUUAAAGAAAUCUUUUUGGUUUUCACUGAAAUAAGAAAUUAACGUUUAGAAUAAAUGGAAGCAAAACUUUGAAAGCCAUAUACAACACCUAGUAAUUUCAAGUUGGUUAUUAUUACAUUUUGGAGGAAACUUUCCAGUAGAUGCCCCCAAGCAACAAGGCGACAGCGAUUGUGAAGAUAAACCUUAUUGAAUUGUACAACGGAUUGCGCCAGUAAGACCAAUGUUGUUUCCAUAAACAAGCCAUACAUUGGGUAAAAAAGGACCUCGAGUACUUCGAAGGAAAAUAAAGGCACUUUGAACCAGGAUAUGGAUNNNNNNNNNUAGCUUUGUUUCUCCUAUAAAAAAUGACACAUACGUUUCUAAUUAAAUAACCUGUGCAUGUUUGUCAAAAAAAAAAAAAAAUAACCUCUGCUUUUUGCAGUUAUUUGCUAUCUGACAUAUUGUUUCAACUUCAAUACUUCACAAAUUAGAAAAUACCUGUACAAUUCUGAACUUUUGUACACCUCAGCAAAAUUAAUCUCCAUUUCCAUUUCUUUAGCUGAACUCGUAACUUCCAACAUCCAAGUUGCUGGGUUGCAGCCAUCUUUAAUCUUACCGAGGCCUUGAAUUCUCUUUACGAAAAAAGUGUGCCCGAAUGUAAGUUUCAUGCUACGAUAGAUUAUAGAUGUAAAACACGCACUUCAAUUCCAAAAUUAUUCAGAAUAAUUCUACCUCAAAGUAGUUAAUUAAAUGUGAAGAAUGACGUCCUAGUGGCCCCACAUAUAUCUCUUGUCCUCCUCGUUUCAUUAAGAAAAGCUUAAUUUCAUUGAAAAUAAAGAUCAAAAUCUUUUUAAAAGAAGAAAACAAACUAACAAUAAAUUGUUAUGAACUUUUGCUCUUGUUUACCUCGUUGAAAGAUUCAAAGAUAUCAAUGCUAGGCUGGUGAAUGGUACACACAAUUGUUCUUCCUGUGUCUGCUAUGUUCCUAACUGCUCUCAUAACAAUAGCUGCAGCUCUAGCAUCUAGCCCAGAAGUAGGCUCAUCCAUGAAUAUGAUAGAAGGAUUACCCACCAGCUCAACUGCAAUAGUCAAUCUUUUACGCUGUUCAGUUGAGAGACCGUUAAUACCAGGGAGACCAACAUAUGCAUCCCUUAGCGGGUUCAGCUCCACUAGCUCCAUGACUUCCUCAACGAACACCUGUAACCGUUGGUCAGCUCCAAAUUAUUCUUGCUUCCAACAUUAUUUUAUAGGACAUAAUAGUUCUAUCUAAAAUUUAUGAUAAUUAUGCCAAAUCUCGAAAUUAUGCACUUGGGUACUGAAAAUUUACUUGAAAAUAAUAAGUGGAUAUGAAUUUGAAUACAACAGCAAACAUUUUAGAAAAAUUAAUGAAAUCUGGUGAAGCAGGAUAACAACAACUGUAUCAUACUUAAAAACAUCCAAAAACUUAACAUGAAAGUAAAUAGAGUGUCAACCUUCCUAGUUUCUGUAUUGAUUUCCUCCGGCAAUCGGAGCCAUGCUGAAUAGAGCAAGGAUUCAUAGACAGUAAUAUGAGGAGAGUGUAUAUCAUUUUGUUCACAGUAUCCAGAAAUUCUUGCAAAGGUUUCUUGCUUUUUAGGAUACCCAGAAAUUGUGAUGUUUCCAGUAAUAUAUCCCCCAGUUUUUCUACCAGCAAGUACAUCCAUCAAAGUUGUUUUUCCGGCACCGGUGACACCCAUUAGUGCAGUGAGAACACCUGGUCUAAAAGCUCCACUAACACCAUUCAAAAGAACCAACUUAUCUUCGAGGACACCCUGACUCCUCAUUUCCUUCAAGUUUAAUGAAACCCAUUUAAAAAUUAAGAACUGAGAGUGGAAUGCAAACCUUUUUCAUUUGAAUAAAUAUGUGUUACCUGAGGCAUGUCUACAGAAUACGAGACUUCAUCAAAGGUUAUACAAUGUGGUUCAAAAGGAAGAACCAUUCCACUUUUACUUAGACCAUUCUCCUCACUACUUUGAGAUUGCUCUGAUUUCACAACCUGGUGCUUCUCAAUUGCUGCAUAAUUAGUUUGCAAUAUUAAUUCAUAUUUUAGGCUCAUCUUUGUUAUAAAAUAUUCUAAUUAAUGUAAAGAAACUUACGAUUUAAGUAUGUUAGAGCAAGAAUGUAACCCAAGUUGAACAAUAGUGUAUAUCCAAUCAAUGCCCCGAAACAUAUCCAAUACCAGUACGGCUCUGUAAAGAACCCACGGGAUUUCAAAACUUCAACUCCUAGCGGGUUUGUCGAGUUAGGAAGAACCUUUCUCCAUGUCUUCCCUAGGAACUCGUUAUUCACUAAGCCAUUUUGUGCAUACAUUAUAGGCGAUAUCCAGAAUCCCCAUAUCCACCCUAUUUUUAUAUCAUCUGAAACCAAAAAGCAAAAAAGGGGGGAAGGUAUUGUUAUCCUAAAUUCUAACAAUAAUAUGUAGGAGAAACAUUAACUUUAACUACUUCAACAUAUGAACUACAAUAGUACCUCUUGAGAGGGUCAGACCACCCAUGGCAACAAAGAAGCAGAAUAUAAAUGACGUAAUUGUUGUAGCCACUGUCAUUUCUCUACCAGCUGCUCCAAGAAAUCGGGAUAGUCCAGUACCCAUUUGGUUGAUUAGUAUGAGAAGAAGGAAUUGCCUAAAUGCUCUGUAAUCAUACACAAAAAGAUACUGUUAAUUACACAUUAGGGUUCAAAGUCAAACUGAGUUGAAUAAUACUUGACAAGUUUUGAUGAAUACAUAUUGAAAAUUUUCUUUUUUACCUUCCAACUUCAGGUUCAUAACCGAUGACAAAAUAGGUGAGGACUGUCCAAACAACUGCUUCAACAAUUGUUAUGGGGAUUUUAAGGAUCCAUGACGGAAUACCAUAUGCCCAAGAAGGGUAGAAGAGCAUGUCCCUGUGCUUGUAAAACACGGGAAGCCUCACAACAGUCAUCGAAAGGUCAGAAAAUCCAUUAAACAUAAGCACCAUAUUUCCAAAGAACAAUGCACCGGCAUAUAUGCCCCCGUCAAUCACUGAAUCGUGGUGCAUUUCAGUUCGGAGAAAAACAGUCAUGGUAACAAUAGCCAUCACAGCUAGCUUAAAGAAGGAGAAAUGCAUUAUUAAUAGAGUAGCAAGUACUUAGUUUAUACAUAAAGUGAAAUACUGUAAUGUUCAAGUUGUUUGAGCUUACUUGGCAAAAUUUGAAUUUAUAUAUAAAUGAAUUGCGCUUCAUGAGUAAAAGUUCUCUUGAUAAGCAAGUUUUGAACAAUUCCCAUUUUCCAGUUCCAUACUUGUUGGUUGCCAGAGCAGCUGGGUGGCUUUUAGACUUGUCAAAUUGAGUAGCAAGUUCAUUACCAAGGUUUCUCCCGACAUGAAAUGACUGAAAUGCCUCUGCAAACUCUCCAGGUGUCACAAAUCUAUAAGGUUUCCCUCUUUCUACCCAAUAUUGCUCCUGAUCUUUCAUUGAUGUCACCUAUAGCAUAAUGGCCAAAAUUAAAUAGUUAACAUUCACUCAUAUCCAUAUAGAUUUGUAGAAUGUAGAAAGAAAUAAUGUUA
Molecule: long non-coding RNA, 5656 nt
Filed under: Trifolium pratense (red clover)
Lineage: Eukaryota; Viridiplantae; Streptophyta; Magnoliopsida; Fabales; Fabaceae
Description: long non-coding RNA (TPRA_LNC002918)
Source: RNAcentral